Molecule: long non-coding RNA, 368 nt
Organism: Amphimedon queenslandica
Lineage: Eukaryota; Metazoa; Porifera; Demospongiae; Haplosclerida; Niphatidae
Exons: 2
Source: RefSeq, a predicted model, not a curated record
UUAAAAUUUUCAGAAAAUGGCGUCUUUUUCUGAUGUUCUUAUGUUUGUCAUUUCGUUGCUGGUGGCGAUUGGAUUGGUAUUUCUUUUUGUGCUGUUUUGUUGGGGUGUAGCAUGGAAGUUACUAUUAUCACACUUUGGGCUCAUGCGAGCACUAGUGGACUCUAAUGAAAAACCAUCCACCACUCAAACCCGUCACACAAGAACUCGCCAAACUAAAAGUGACUUUUAUAUUAACAGUAACACUAGAUCACUUCAUAAUAGAUAAUGAUUACAUAUUUGAAAUUGGAUUCUAUAUUAAGCACACAUGUAUUUUUUAUCAUUUUAAGAUUGAUAUUUGUGGAAUAGAUGCCAGCUAUUUUAAUGAUUAA